AACCCAGUGCAAUUCGUUGCACUAUCGUUAACUGAAUACAUAGGUUAACGAGGCGAACCGGGGGAACUGAAACAUCUAAGUACCCCGAGGAAAAGAAAUCAACCGAGAUUCCCCCAGUAGCGGCGAGCGAACGGGGAGCAGCCCAGAGUCUGAAUCAGCUUGUGUGUUAGUGGAACGGUCUGGAAAGUCCGACGGUACAGGGUGAUAGUC
Molecule: ribosomal RNA, 210 nt
Filed under: Klebsiella aerogenes
Lineage: Bacteria; Pseudomonadati; Pseudomonadota; Gammaproteobacteria; Enterobacterales; Enterobacteriaceae
Also listed under: 6 other names
Description: partial 23S ribosomal RNA
Rfam family: Bacterial large subunit ribosomal RNA
Source: RNAcentral